RNAcentral lists this ribosomal RNA (428 nucleotides) under uncultured bacterium. RNAcentral describes it as "bacterial SSU rRNA". It matches the Rfam family "Bacterial small subunit ribosomal RNA", at positions 355 to 774 of the family's 1533-position model. The record is from RNAcentral.
UGGGGAAUUUUGGACAAUGGGCGCAAGCCUGAUCCAGCCAUGCCGCGUGCGGGAAGAAGGCCUUCGGGUUGUAAACCGCUUUAGUCUAGGAAGAAGGGGUGCGAGGAUAAUACCCUCGUGCUUUGAUGGUACUGGAAGAAUAAGCACCGGCUAACUACGUGCCAGCAGCCGCGGUAAUACGAAGGGGGCUAGCGUUGCUCGGAAUUACUGGGCGUAAAGGGAGCGUAGGCGGACAUUUAAGUCAGGGGUGAAAUCCCGGGGCUCAACCUCGGAAUUGCCUUUGAUACUGGGUGUCUUGAGUGUGAGAGAGGUAUGUGGAACUCCGAGUGUAGAGGUGAAAUUCGUAGAUAUGCGGAGGAACACCGAUGGCGAAGGCAAUCCCCUGGGCCUGCACUGACGCUCAUGCACGAAAGCGUGGGGAGCAAACA